UAGAAAUCCUAUAUAAGAUCCUAUAAGAUCUUAUAGGAUCUUAUAGGAUCCUCUAGGAUUCUUUUAAGAUCCUAUAUUUUUCAGGAUCCUAACAAAUUCCUGUCCAAGAUCCUAAAAGAUCUUAAAUGACUUAAGAUAUUGGCUGAUCCUAAACAGAAAAUCCUAAUUUAUUCAGGAUUAUAAAUAAGAUCUUAAAAUUCUUACAGGAUCAUAAUCUGAUCAUAAAUAAUAAAAUAUGUACUGGGAACUGGGAAAAUGUAGUUUCCCCAAUCCUGUCAUGCUUAAUUGCUACAAUUUUGUUUGCUUAACUGUUUAAAAUAUCACACAAUAAGAACUAAAGAUUUCUCUGAGAUCUUAUAAUUCUUAUGGGAUUUCCUUCUUCAAUAUUUAUAUAUUGUACAGGAUUUUUUGGAUAUAUAUAUUCCUAUGAAAUUCUUACAGGAUCUAUUUAAGAUCUUACCAUAUUCUUACAGGAUUUUUUAAAGAUCUUAUUAUUUUCUUACAAGUUUCUUCAAGAUCUUAUGAAAUUCGUCAAGGACAUUUUUAAGAUCUUACCAUAAUCUUACAAGAUUUUAAAAAAAUCUUAUUGUAUUUUUACGGGAAUUUUUUAAGAUCUUAUUAUAUUCUUACAGGAUUCUUCAAGAUCGUAUGAAAUUCUUACAGGAUUUUUUUAAGAUCUUACCAUAUUCUUACAGGAUUUUUUAAAAAUCUUAUUGUAUUCUUACAGGAUUUUUUAAAGAUCUUAUUAUAUUCUUACAGGACCCUUCAAGAUCUUAUGAAAUUCUUACAGGAUCUUUUUAAGAUCUUACCACAUUCUUACAAGAUUUUUUAAAAAUCUUUUUGUAUUCUUACAGGAUUUUUUUAAAGAUCUUAUUAUAUUCCUACAGGAUUCUUCAAGAUCUUUUGGAAUUCUUACAGGAUCUCCUUAAGAUCUUACCAAAUUCUUAUACAUAUUCUUAUCAUAUACAGCCCAACAUACAUGCAGCCACACAUGCACGAAAGAUAAUGUAUAUCUACUAUAUCAUGAUAUCAUAGUUUAAUGAUAUAUUUAUUAUGUAUUUUAUGUAGCAGUGGUAUGGUAUGUGGUCCUCUGCGUCUGCGAUAACUAAAAAAUUUCAAGGGAAGCGCAGUUCCGUGUAUGGAAGCACUGCGUCAAAUUCAAAUUUCAAACGCGCCAUUUUACAACUGUAAACUGUAAUUUCACUUCGUCUGUCUUCCUUCGCUUGGCGUUUUAUAUACUUUCGACACAAUUUUAGUGUUUUAAAAAAUGGCCAAUUGUGCGAUUUCUUUGUUGAAAGAAAUAUGAAGGCAAGUUCCCGAGGCAGCGUCUCUUAUCGAAGGGCCAAUUCUUCAAAGUUAUAUGGUACUUCUUAGGCACUGGUGUAUGGACUACCAUGAAAAAUGUGUUCACAACAGCAUAUUAUCAGAUGGAUCUGGAUUAUCCACCUGAACAUGAGAUAAGUCUCACAUUUCUGCAUUACAUAGUGUUUGUUGAUAUAGCUGUGCUAAGCCUUUUAUUGUUUAUAUUUUAGGGCCAUCUCAAUGUUGUUAAGCCAUUUGCAAGGGGAAAACAUUUUGCAAACUGAGGACUCUGAAUUCAUAAGGUUUUCAAAGAGACAAAAUUAAUGGUGGACAUUACCGCAAAAUAAUUUUCUGGGUAAGCACAGGAGGUUUUCAUGAGUAGCCAAAUCACAGAAAUUAAGACAAGUGCUUAAUUUCUGCAUUUUGUCCUAAUUGAAACCUAGAUUGCUUCCACGCACUGUAGUCUAAUCCAGUUUCCUCUUUUUAUUAUGUCAAAUACAGUCAGUGAUGGUGAAAUAUGGGGACAAGGCAACUCAAUGGAUGGCCUGAAAUUUGGCAAAGUCUCAAUCAGAAGUGCCAGGACAAAGUAAGACAGUACAAAAAAAAUAUCAAUGUCUACAGAACUAAAAGACUAAAAAGAUGAACAUUAAUUUGAACUUUAUCUGGGGUAAUAUUUGUCUUAUAUUUUGAUAGAGUAAUUUUUUAUGUAACGCAAAAAUAAACAUUAUUUAAUACAAUUUACCAUGUUUGUGUUGUGUUAUUUAUCUAAUAAAUUUAGAUAUUUUGUUUAAGAUCAAGCUUUGAUCCUGCAUUCCUAGAAUCCUAAAAAGAUCUUUAGGAACUUAUAAGAUCCUGCCUAGGAUCCUAAAAGAAUAUUUAGGAAUUUAUAAGAUCCUGCCUAGGAUCUGAAAAGAAUAUCUAGGAAAUUAUAAGAUCCUGCCUAGGAUCCUAAAAGAAUAUUUAGGAAAUUAUAAGAUCCUGCCUAGGAUCCUAAUUAAGAUACUUGUAGGAUCCUAUAGGAAUCUUUAAAAUCCUACUUAAGAUCUUAUUUAAGAUCCUUUAAGAUCUUAUAGGAUCUUAUAGGAUCCUAUAGGAUCUUAAUGUAAGAUCCUAUAAGAUCUUAUAGGAUCCUAUAGGAUUGUAUUGUAAGAUCUUAUGCAAGAUCUUAUGCAAGAUCUUAAUAAGAUCUUAUAUAAGAUCCUAACUAGGAUUUCUACCAGGGUUGUAA
This 2530-nucleotide long non-coding RNA is filed under the name Dendronephthya gigantea. RNAcentral describes it as "uncharacterized LOC114535145". The record is from RNAcentral. Lineage: Eukaryota; Metazoa; Cnidaria; Anthozoa; Malacalcyonacea; Nephtheidae.